AACGAACGCUGGCGGCAUGCCUAACACAUGCAAGUAGAACGCGGCCUUCGGGUCCUUUGUCUUACGGGUGCGUUACCCAUCGGAACCUUCCCUCGUGGUUGGACUACCUCAUAGCAGUGUGUGCUAAUACCAAAUGAUGUCUUCGGCCCAAAGAUUUAUCGGCUUUAGAUGGGCCCGCGUUGGAUUAGCAAGUUGGUCUGGUAAAGGCCUACCAAGGUGACGUUCCAUAGCUGGUCUGAGAGGAUGAUCCGCCACACUGGGACCGAGACACGGCCGAGACUCCUACGGGAGGCAGCAGUGGGGAAUAUUGGACAAUGGGCGAAAGCCUGAUCCAGCAAUGCCGCGUGAGUGAUGAAGGCGUUAGGGUUGUAAAGCUCUUUUACCCGAGAUGAUAAUGACAGUAUCGGGAGAAUAAGCUCCGGCUAACUCCGUG
This 433-nucleotide ribosomal RNA is filed under the name uncultured bacterium. Its description in RNAcentral is "partial 16S ribosomal RNA". It matches the Rfam family "Bacterial small subunit ribosomal RNA", at positions 29 to 507 of the family's 1533-position model. The record is from RNAcentral.